CUUUUUAACCCAAGCUAGGGCCGGCGGUGAAACCGACCCCAACUCACUCCCUUCCCUUCUUUACUCUUCCAAAGCUCCUCAAUCCCCAUUUCUCCCCUCAUAGCAUCCCAAUUACCUCUCAUUUCGAAGCAAAACAUCAACAAUCCUUCCCUCUCUUGAAGAUCUUACUAAGGUAUUCUCUAAGAAGCCCUUAAAUUCUGUUUUCUUUCAUUUACUCUUGCUCAUC
This 226-nucleotide long non-coding RNA is filed under the name Musa acuminata (dwarf banana). RNAcentral describes it as "long non-coding RNA (MACU_LNC009415)". Lineage: Eukaryota; Viridiplantae; Streptophyta; Magnoliopsida; Zingiberales; Musaceae. The record is from RNAcentral.